CUUUCUUCUUCCACCUGCUGCUGCUUCUCUUUAGAUCCACAAAAACUGCUGCUGCUGCUCUCUCUCUCUCUCUCUGAAUUUUCUAUAAGCUAAGAUGUGUAAAAUUUUGUAAUAUUCAGAUUUUUAAGAGUGUUGGCAACAUGUAGCUUGUUCUGUUUGGUACUUGUAAUAUAUAAUGCUUGUCUUGAAUUUCUGUAGGCUGUGAGAAAUAAUUGUCCUUGAAAUCUUGCUCUGUGAUUUAGUAACCUUCUAGUAUAUUUGUGUGAUCACCUUGUGUACUAGUCCCUGUACUAGUUCUCUGUACUUAUCCUAUUUGUAGUCUCUGUGUGUGUUAGCUCUAGUACCUGUGAUAUGUAUGAGUGUUUGUGUUGUGAUAUAUUUCUGUCCCUAUCAUAUUAGCUUGUUUCUUUCCUUCUGUCAUUGCUUGUUAUAUAUGUCUAUGUUUUUUUGAA
This 452-nucleotide long non-coding RNA is filed under the name Triticum aestivum (bread wheat). Its description in RNAcentral is "long non-coding RNA (TAES_LNC005388)". The record is from RNAcentral. Lineage: Eukaryota; Viridiplantae; Streptophyta; Magnoliopsida; Poales; Poaceae.